This 215-nucleotide non-coding RNA is filed under the name Enterococcus thailandicus. RNAcentral's name for it is "T-box sequence". It matches the Rfam family "T-box leader". Rfam says of the family: Uncharged tRNA acts as the effector for transcription antitermination of genes in the T-box leader family. T-boxes are found upstream of many aminoacyl-tRNA synthetase genes and some amino acid biosynthetic genes usually in Gram-positive bacteria. The record is from RNAcentral. Lineage: Bacteria; Bacillati; Bacillota; Bacilli; Lactobacillales; Enterococcaceae.
GUGAAUACUAAACACAGAACCUAGUACACUUUAUUUUUUAACAGAGAGCUGAUGGUCGCUGCAAAUCAGCAAAAAAUAAUUUGGAAGUUCCAGUUCUAUGAUGUGUGCUUUUUGAAAUAAGAAAAGCCGGUUAACAGCCGUUAUCUGUAAACAAGAGCAGCAAUUAAAGCUGAACUCGGGUGGUACCGCGAAUACAAAACUAUUUCGUCCCAAGA